Long non-coding RNA from Haliotis rubra (blacklip abalone), 1035 nucleotides. RefSeq lists it as uncharacterized. The record is from RefSeq and is a predicted model, not a curated record. The transcript has 2 exons. Lineage: Eukaryota; Metazoa; Mollusca; Gastropoda; Lepetellida; Haliotidae.
ACAGACACAGCGGAAUCGCUUCGCGUGCACUUUUGGGUCUAUCGGAAGAGUGUAACUUAGAGUAUUGAAUGGAAAAGGGUCUCCAGAAAGUCUAACAUCUCAACAACAAAACAUUUGCCUGUCUUUCUCGGAGCACCACAUCAUUCUGGGACAUAUCAACAGCUGACCUAAGUAAUAUUCUGACAUGGAAGGCGAGUUCAAUGUGGAGAAGUUCCGUGAUCCUGACGAGACUCAAGCAACAUGGCGCCUCAGAAAAGCAUUCCUUGAAACCCACCAUGACAAAUUUCCUACUGAUCGACUUGUGUGUUUGGCCAAGUGUUUUAUCAAUGUAGAAGUUGAUGGCUGCAAGUACCCAAAUCAAGUGAUGAUACAGCUUGCUGAACUCAAAAGGGGAACUGGAUCUUGACCAGUGAAAAGACAGAUGAACCUGUAAAUGUUGAUCAAUGAUUGAUUUCAGUAAAACAACAAAAUGCAACACAGAGUGUCUUGUGAAAACUGGCAUAUGGCUGGUUUAACUCUAAAAGAUUGGAAGAUAUGUCAUACACAUGUUUGGCCAUGUUUAACUGAAAUAUUAUCGUUUUGUCAAAUGUCUCCUUUUCAUAAAUGUCCAUCUCAUCUUCGAGGCUUAAAUUGUGUUUUUAAAGCUUGACGAAAUUUUAUUACCAUUUAUAUCUCCAUCAUCAUGCUCAUCUAUUCAACUCAUUAUGGCACAUGCUUAGCUAACAUUCUGUCGAUGUGAUUGUGUUAUGUGCAUAUUGAUCAAUACACAGAAAACAGUUACACUUAAUUCUGAAAAUGGGAAAUCUAGAUUUCACAAGAAGAAAAAUGUGCAGUUUUGUUUUUACCAUGUCAUAUCUGAAGCAACGUAGUUUUAUCAGUCCGCCCGAGAUCCUACAAAACAUCCAAGUAUUUGUAACAAAAUUACUUCUUCUCAUCUCAUUUACAUAUUUAGAAUGCUGAUGUUAUGUUUUCUUGUCAGUAUCCUUUAAACUUGAUUUUACUUGGUGCUCAUAAAAAUACAAUUAAUCAUAAUGA